This 563-nucleotide ribosomal RNA is filed under the name fungal endophyte. RNAcentral's name for it is "eukaryotic LSU rRNA". The stretch from base 200 to 353 matches the Rfam family "5.8S ribosomal RNA". The record is from RNAcentral. Lineage: Eukaryota; Fungi.
CGGAGGGUCAUUACGAAAAGGAGUAUUCGUACUCUUAAACCCUUUGUGAACCUUACCUAUCGUCAGUUGCUUCGGCGGGAGGCCCCUGGGAGGGGCCCCGGGGCCCGGGCCAGAGCCCGGGCUCCCGCCGGAGGAGCGCAAACCAAACUCUUGCUGUACCUCAGUGGAACAUCCGAGUUAAAACAAAUAAACAAGUUAAAACUUUCAACAACGGAUCUCUUGGUUCUGGCAUCGAUGAAGAACGCAGCGAAAUGCGAUAAGUAAUGUGAAUUGCAGAAUUCAGUGAAUCAUCGAAUCUUUGAACGCACAUUGCGCCCGCCAGCAUUCUGGCGGGCAUGCCUGUUCGAGCGUCAUUUCAACCACUCAGGCCCUGGUGCCUGGCGUCGGCGUAUUCUGACUAGAAACGCCUAGACACAGUGGCGGACCCGCCGCGGCUCCGAGCGCAGUAGUAAAAUAUCUCGCUUAGGGGUUCCGCGGGGGGGAUUUCCCGGCCGUAAAAACCAUCCCUCACGGGAUAACUCUCAAGGUUGACCUCGGAUCAGGUAGGAAUACCCGCUGAACUU